UGGGGAAUUUUGGACAAUGGGCGAAAGCCUGAUCCAGCAAUGCCGCGUGUGUGAAGAAGGCCUUCGGGUUGUAAAGCACUUUUGUCCGGAAAGAAAUCCUUGGCUCUAAUACAGUCGGGGGAUGACGGUACCGGAAGAAUAAGCACCGGCUAACUACGUGCCAGCAGCCGCGGUAAUACGUAGGGUGCAAGCGUUAAUCGGAAUUACUGGGCGUAAAGCGUGCGCAGGCGGUUUGCUAAGACCGAUGUGAAAUCCCCGGGCUCAACCUGGGAACUGCAUUGGUGACUGGCAGGCUAGAGUAUGGCAGAGGGGGGUAGAAUUCCACGUGUAGCAGUGAAAUGCGUAGAGAUGUGGAGGAAUACCGAUGGCGAAGGCAGCCCCCUGGGCCAAUACUGACGCUCAUGCACGAAAGCGUGGGGAGCAAACAGGAUUAGAUACCCUGGUAGUCCACGCCCUAAACGAUGUCAACUAGUCGUUGGGGAUUCAUUUCCUUAGUAACGUAGCUAACGCGUGAAGUUGACCGCCUGGGGAGUACGGUCGCAAGAUUAAAACUCAAAUGAAUUGACGGGGUCA
Molecule: ribosomal RNA, 573 nt
Filed under: uncultured bacterium
Lineage: Bacteria
Description: partial 16S ribosomal RNA
Rfam family: Bacterial small subunit ribosomal RNA
Source: RNAcentral